AUGGUUAAGUUAGAAAGGGCGCACGGUGAAUGCCUUGGCACUAGGAGCCGAUGAAGGACGGGACUAACACCGAUAUGCUUCGGGGAGCUGUAAGUGAGCUUUGAUCCGGAGAUUUCCGAAUGGGGAAACCCACUGUUCGUAAUGGAACAGUAUCUUUAUCUGAAUACAUAGGAUAUUGAAGGCAGACCCGGGGAACUGAAACAUCUAAGUACCCGGAGGAAGAGAAAGCAAAUGCGAUUUCCUGAGUAGCGGCGAGCGAAACGGAAUUAGCCCAAACCAAGAGGCUUGCCUCUUGGGGUUGUAGGACACUCUAUACGGAGUUACAAAGGAACGAAGUAAAUGAAGCGACCUGGAAAGGUCCGUCGAAGAAGGUAACAACCCUGUAGUUGAAACUUCGUUCCCUCUUGAGUGGAUCCUGAGUACGGCGGAACACGUGAAAUUCCGUCGGAAGCUGGGAGGACCAUCUCCCAAGGCUAAAUACUACCUAGUGACCGAUAGUGAACCAGUACCGUGAGGGAAAGGUGAAAAGCACCCCGGAAGGGGAGUGAAAGAGAUCCUGAAACCGUGUGCCUACAAGUAGUCAGAGCCCGUUAACGGGUGAUGGCGUGCCUUUUGUAGAAUGAACCGGCGAGUUACGAUCCCAUGCAAGGUUAAGCUGAUAAGGCGGAGCCGUAGCGAAAGCGAGUCUGAAUAGGGCGUUUAGUAUGUGGUUGUAGACCCGAAACCAGGUGAUCUACCCAUGUCCAGGGUGAAGUUCAGGUAACACUGAAUGGAGGCCCGAACCCACGCACGUUGAAAAGUGCGGGGAUGAGGUGUGGGUAGCGGAGAAAUUCCAAUCGAACCUGGAGAUAGCUGGUUCUCUCCGAAAUAGCUUUAGGGCUAGCCUCAUGUUGUGAGAGUCUUGGAGGUAGAGCACUGAUUGGACUAGGGGCCCCCAACGGGUUACCGAAUUCAGUCAAACUCCGAAUGCCAAAGACUUAUCCAUGGGAGUCAGACUGCGAGUGAUAAGAUCCGUAGUCAAAAGGGAAACAGCCCAGACCACCAGCUAAGGUCCCCAAGUAUACGUUAAGUGGAAAAGGAUGUGGAGUUGCUUAGACAACCAGGAUGUUGGCUUAGAAGCAGCCACCAUUUAAAGAGUGCGUAAUAGCUCACUGGUCGAGUGACUCUGCGCCGAAAAUGUACCGGGGCUAAACGUAUCACCGAAGCUGUGGAUUGACAUCUUUGAUGUCAGUGGUAGGAGAGCGUUCUAAGUGCUGUGAAGUCAGACCGUAAGGACUGGUGGAGCGCUUAGAAGUGAGAAUGCCGGUAUGAGUAGCGAAAGACAAGUGAGAAUCUUGUCCACCGAAUGCCUAAGGUUUCCUGAGGAAGGCUCGUCCGCUCAGGGUUAGUCGGGACCUAAGCCGAGGCUGAAAAGCGUAGGCGAUGGCCAACAGGUUGAUAUUCCUGUACCACCUCCCCGCCGUUUGAGUAAUGGGGGGACGCAGUAGGAUAGGGUAAGCGCGCUGCUGGAUAUGCGCGUUCAAGCAGUUAGGCUGAUGAGUAGGCAAAUCCGCUCAUCAUAAAGGCUGAGCUGUGAUGACGAGGGAAUUAUAGUACCGAAGUUCCUGAUUCCACACUGCCAAGAAAAGCCUCUAGCGAGGCGGGAGGUGCCCGUACCGCAAACCGACACAGGUAGGCGAGGAGAGAAUCCUAAGGUGAUCGAGAGAACUCUCGUUAAGGAACUCGGCAAAAUGACCCCGUAACUUCGGGAGAAGGGGUGCUCUGGUAGGGUGUAUAGCCCGAGAGAGCCGCAGUGAAUAGGCCCAGGCGACUGUUUAGCAAAAACACAGGUCUCUGCGAAGCCGCAAGGCGAAGUAUAGGGGCUGACGCCUGCCCGGUGCUGGAAGGUUAAGAGGAGGGGUUAUCCUUUGGGAGAAGCUCUGAAUCGAAGCCCCAGUAAACGGCGGCCGUAACUAUAACGGUCCUAAGGUAGCGAAAUUCCUUGUCGGGUAAGUUCCGACCCGCACGAAAGGCGUAACGAUCUGGGCACUGUCUCAACGAGAGACUCGGUGAAAUUAUAGUACCUGUGAAGAUGCAGGUUACCCGCGACAGGACGGAAAGACCCCGUGGAGCUUUACUGUAGCCUGAUAUUGAAUUUUGGUACAGCUUGUACAGGAUAGGUAGGAGCCUGAGAAGCCGGAGCGCUAGCUUCGGUGGAGGCGUCGGUGGGAUACUACCCUGGCUGUAUUGAAAUUCUAACCCGCGGCCCUGAUCGGGCCGGGAGACAGUGUCAGGUGGGCAGUUUGACUGGGGCGGUCGCCUCCUAAAAUGUAACGGAGGCGCCCAAAGGUUCCCUCAGAAUGGUUGGAAAUCAUUCGUAGAGUGUAAAGGCACAAGGGAGCUUGACUGCGAGACCUACAAGUCGAGCAGGGACGAAAGUCGGGCUUAGUGAUCCGGUGGUUCCGCAUGGAAGGGCCAUCGCUCAACGGAUAAAAGCUACCCCGGGGAUAACAGGCUUAUCUCCCCCAAGAGUCCACAUCGACGGGGAGGUUUGGCACCUCGAUGUCGGCUCAUCGCAUCCUGGGGCUGUAGUCGGUCCCAAGGGUUGGGCUGUUCGCCCAUUAAAGCGGUACGCGAGCUGGGUUCAGAACGUCGUGAGACAGUUCGGUCCCUAUCCGUCGUGGGCGUAGGAAAUUUGAGAGGAGCUGUCCUUAGUACGAGAGGACCGGGAUGGACACACCGCUGGUGUACCAGUUGUCUUGCCAAAGGCAUCGCUGGGUAGCUAUGUGUGGACGGGAUAAGUGCUGAAAGCAUCUAAGCAUGAAGCCCCCCUCAAGAUGAGAUUUCCCAUAGCGCAAGCUAGUAAGAUCCCUGAAAGAUGAUCAGGUUGAUAGGUCAGAGGUGGAAGCGUGGCGACAUGUGUAGCUGACUGAUACUAAUCGAUCGAGGACUUAACCAAACUUUAAAAGUGU
This 2951-nucleotide ribosomal RNA is filed under the name Priestia megaterium. RNAcentral describes it as "Bacillus megaterium 23S ribosomal RNA". It matches the Rfam family "Bacterial large subunit ribosomal RNA". Lineage: Bacteria; Bacillati; Bacillota; Bacilli; Caryophanales; Bacillaceae. RNAcentral also lists the same sequence under 1 other name. The record is from RNAcentral.